AUGGUCAGUGCGCGCCCUACCUUCCAGGGCCCGCUUAAGGCUGCCUGCCCCCUGCUCUUCAGAGCCAGGGCAGACCUUGUACGAAGUGGGCAAACAGCCGGCACACAUCACAGUGGAAUCAGACCCCUAGUGUCGCAACAAAGAUGGCUGAGCAGUGGUGCAGUGCCCACCAUGGACGGCUGUCCCCAGCCAGCCCCGCUGUGGGCCACCCAGCCCCCGAGGCACCAAGAGCUGUCCCCAGCCAGCCCCGCUGUGGGCCACCCAGCCCCCGAGGCACCAAGAGCUGUCCCCAGCCAGCCCCGCUGUGGGCCACCCAGCCCCCGAGGCACCAAGAGCUGUCCCCAGCCAGACCCGCUGUGGGCCACCCAGCCCCCGAGGCACCAAGAGCUGUCCCCAGCCAGCCCCGCUGUGGGCCACCCAGCCCCCGAGGCACCAAGAGCUGUCCCCAGCCAGCCCCGCUGUGGGCCACCCAGCCCCCGAGGCACCAAGAGCUGUCCCCAGCCAGCCCCGCUGUGGGCCACCCAGCCCCCGAGGCACCAAGAGCUGUCCCCAGCCAGCCCCGCUGUGGGCCACCCAGCCCCCGAGGCACCAAGAGCUGUCCCCAGCCAGCCCCGCUGUGGGCCACCCAGCCCCCGAGGCACCAAGAGCUGUCCCCAGCCAGCCCCGCUGUGGGCCACCCAGCCCCCGAGGCACCAAGAGCUGUCCCCAGCCAGCCCCGCUGUGGGCCACCCAGCCCCCGAGGCACCAAGAGCUGUCCCCAGCCAGCCCCGCUGUGGGCCACCCAGCCCCCGAGGCACCAAGAGCUGUCCCCAGCCAGCCCCGCUGUGGGCCACCCAGCCCCCGAGGCACCAAGAGCUGUCCCCAGCCAGCCCCGCUGUGGGCCACCCAGCCCCCGAGGCACCAAGAGCUGUCCCCAGCCAGCCCCGCUGUGGGCCACCCAGCCCCCGAGGCACCAAGAGCUGUCCCCAGCCAGCCCCGCUGUGGGCCACCCAGCCCCCGAGGCACCAAGAGCUGUCCCCAGCCAGCCCCGCUGUGGGCCACCCAGCCCCCGAGGCACCAAGAGCUGUCCCCAGCCAGCCCCGCUGUGGGCCACCCAGCCCCCGAGGCACCAAGAGCUGUCCCCAGCCAGCCCCGCUGUGGGCCACCCAGCCCCCGAGGCACCAAGAGCUGUCCCCAGCCAGCCCCGCUGUGGGCCACCCAGCCCCCGAGGCACCAAGAGCUGUCCCCAGCCAGCCCCGCUGUGGGCCACCCAGCCCCCGAGGCACCAAGAGCUGUCCCCAGCCAGCCCCGCUGUGGGCCACCCAGCCCCCGAGGCACCAAGAGCUGUCCCCAGCCAGCCCCGCUGUGGGCCACCCAGCCCCCGAGGCACCAAGAGCUGUCCCCAGCCAGCCCCGCUGUGGGCCACCCAGCCCC
RNAcentral lists this long non-coding RNA (1413 nucleotides) under Zalophus californianus (California sea lion). Its description in RNAcentral is "lncRNA (ENSZCAG00015025205.1)". The record is from RNAcentral. Lineage: Eukaryota; Metazoa; Chordata; Mammalia; Carnivora; Otariidae.